RNAcentral lists this ribosomal RNA (482 nucleotides) under uncultured bacterium. Its description in RNAcentral is "partial 16S ribosomal RNA". It matches the Rfam family "Bacterial small subunit ribosomal RNA", at positions 29 to 505 of the family's 1533-position model. The record is from RNAcentral.
AGUGAACGCUGGCGGCAGGCCUAACACAUGCAAGUCGAGCGGCAGCGCGGGGGCAACCCUGGCGGCGAGCGGCGGACGGGUGAGGAAUUCGUCGGAAUUUGCUUUUUUGUGGGGGAUAACGUAGGGAAACUUACGCUAAUACCGCAUACGUCCUACGGGAGAAAGUGGGGGACUGCAAGGCCUCACGCAGAAAGAUGAGCCGACGACCGAUUAGCUAGUUGGUGGGGUAAAGGCACACCAAGGCGACGAUCGGUAGCUGGUCUGAGAGGAUGAUCAGCCACAAUGGGAGUGAGAGACAGCGCAGACGACUACAGAAGGCAGCAGUGGGGAAAAUUGGACUAUGGGCGCAAGCCUGAUCCAGCCAUGCCGCGUGUGUGAAGAAGUCCGUCGGGUUGUAAAGCACUUUUGUCCGGAAGGAAAUCCCUGGAGCUAAUACCAACGGAGGAUGACGGUACCGUGAGAAUAAGCACCGGCAAACUUCG